ACGGGAGGCAGCAGUGGGGGAUAUUGCACAAUGGGGGAAACCCUGAUGCAGCGACGCCGCGUGAGUGAAGAAGUAUUUCGGUAUGUAAAGCUCUAUCAGCAGGGAAGAUAAUGACGGUACCUGACUAAGAAGCCCCGGCUAACUACGUGCCAGCAGCCGCGGUAAUACGUAGGGGGCAAGCGUUAUCCGGAUUUACUGGGUGUAAAGGGAGCGCAGACGGCCAUGCAAGUCUGAAGUGAAAUCCACGGGCUCAACCCGUGAACUGCUUUGGAAACUGUAAGGCUAGAGUGCAGGAGAGGUAAGUGGAAUUCCUAGUGUAGCGGUGAAAUGCGUAGAUAUUAGGAGGAACACCAGUGGCGAAGGCGGCUUACUGGACUGUAACUGACGUUGAGGCUCGAAAGCGUGGGGAGCAAACAGGAUUAGAUACCCUGGUA
RNAcentral lists this ribosomal RNA (434 nucleotides) under uncultured Clostridium sp. RNAcentral's name for it is "partial 16S ribosomal RNA". It matches the Rfam family "Bacterial small subunit ribosomal RNA", at positions 341 to 792 of the family's 1533-position model. The record is from RNAcentral. Lineage: Bacteria; Bacillati; Bacillota; Clostridia; Eubacteriales; Clostridiaceae.